AGAGUUUGAUCAUGGCUCAGAAUCAACGCUGGCGGCGUGCCUAACACAUGCAAGUCGAACGCGAAAGGGGCUUCGGCCCUGAGUAGAGUGGCAAACGGGUGAGUAACACGUGGGUGACCUGCCUCAGAGUGGGGGAUAACGUUCCGAAAGGAGCGCUAAUACCGCAUGACAUCCUGCGCUUGGAAGCGCGGUGAUUAAAGCCGGGGAUCGCAAGACCUGGCGCUUGGAGAGGGGCCCGCGGCCGAUUAGCUAGUUGGUGGGGUAACGGCUCACCAAGGCAACGAUCGGUAUCCGGCCUGAGAGGGCGGACGGACACACUGGGACUGAGACACGGCCCAGACUCCUACGGGAGGCAGCAGUGGGGAAUUGUUCGCAAUGGGCGCAAGCCUGACGACGCAACGCCGCGUGGAGGAUGAAGAUCUUCGGGUCGUAAACUCCUUUCGAUCGGGAAGAACGGCUUCCGGGUGAAUAGCCCGGGAGAGUGACGGUACCGAGAGAAGAAGCCCCGGCUAACUCCGUGCCAGCAGCCGCGGUAAUACGGGGGGGGCAAGCGUUGUUCGGAAUUACUGGGCGUAAAGGGCUCGUAGGCGGCCAACUAAGUCGGAUGUGAAAUCCCCAAGCUUAACUUGGGAACUGCAUCCGAUACUGGAUGGCUUGAAUCCGGGAGAGGGAUGCAGAAUUCCAGGUGUAGCGGUGAAAUGCGUAGAUAUCUGGAGGAAUACCGGUGGCGAAGGCGGCAUCCUGGACCGGCAUUGACGCUGAUGAGCGAAAGCUAGGGGAGCAAACGGGAUUAGAUACCCCGGUAGUCCUAGCCCUAAACGAUGAAUGCUUGGUGUGGCGGGUAUCGAUCCCUGCUGUGCCGAAGCUAACGCAUUAAGCAUUCCGCCUGGGGAGUACGGUCGCAAGG
Molecule: ribosomal RNA, 907 nt
Filed under: uncultured Acidobacteriota bacterium
Lineage: Bacteria; Pseudomonadati; Acidobacteriota
Description: bacterial SSU rRNA
Rfam family: Bacterial small subunit ribosomal RNA
Source: RNAcentral